AUGGGGCAGGACGGGAUCUAUGGGGCAGAAGAACUCCUAUGGGGCAGAGUAACUCCGAUAGGAUUUUCUAUGGGGCAGGAUCGGAUCUAUGGGGCAGAGAAAUCCCUCUUCAGCCAAUCGGGGCUCUUCAAGGCCGGCAGCCGGCUCCUGGUUCCGGAAGGUUCCGGAAGCGCCGGGAGCUUCGUCUGCACCGCCCGGCACGCGGCCACGGCGACCACCAAGAGCGUCCGGGUCAAAGGUCCUCCCACCUCGGCCUCCACCGUAGGCUCCGCCCCCUCCACCGCCACCGCCCCAGUUGACGGCGUGAAGCCCCGCCCACCGGUCGUCUCCGUCUUCCAAUCCUGCGGCUCCUCCCACCUGGAGGUGGAGCUGAUCUGCCUCGUCACCGACCUGGCCCCGCCCACCGUCGCCGUGGAUUGGCUGAAGGACGGCGAGCCGAUGGCGGGAGGCCACGCCCACACGGAGGAGGCCACGCCCGGCCCCGCCCCCGGGGCGUUCCGGGUGGUGUCGCGCCUCAACGUCUCCACGGCCGAUUGGUGGGACGGCGCCUUCUCCUGCCGGGCGACGCACGCCGCGUCCGGCGCCGUGCGCGAGGCCACGGCCGGCCCCGCCCCCGGGGCGUUCCGGGUGGUGUCGCGCCUCAACGUCUCCACGGCCGAUUGGUGGGACGGCGCCUUCUCCUGCCGGGCGACGCACCCCGCGUCCGGCGCCGUGCGCGAGAAAUUUUUCCAAAAUCCUCGAAUUUCUGAGGUUCUCCAACUUCGAGGUUCUCCAAAAUUUUCGAGAUUUUCCAAAAAUCCUCGAAUUUCUCCAAAAUCCUCGAAUUUCUCCAAAAAUCCUCAAAUUCCUCCCAAAACUCUCAAAUUUUUCCGAAAUUUCUCGGAUUUCUCCAAAAUUCUUGAGUUUCUCCGAGAUUUUCGAGGUCCUCCCACCUCGGCCUCCACCGUAGGCUCCGCCCCCUCCACCGCCACCGCCCCAGUUGACGGCGUGAAGCCCCGCCCACCGGUCGUCUCCGUCUUCCAAUCCUGCGGCUCCUCCCACCUGGAGGUGGAGCUAAUCUGCCUCAUCACCGACCUGGCCCCGCCCACCGUCGCCGUGGAUUGGCUGAAGGACGGCGAGCCGAUGGCGGGAGGCCACGCCCACACGGAGGAGGCCACGCCCGGCCCCGCCCCCGGGGCGUUCCGGGUGGUGUCGCGCCUCAACGUCUCCACGGCCGAUUGGUGGGACGGCGCCUUCUCCUGCCGGGCGACGCACGCCGCGUCCGGCGCCGUGCGCGAGGCCACGGCCAACUCAACCCAAACUCAACUUUUGAUAGCCCCCAGCUCCACGCCCAUCUCCGUCUUCGCGCUGCCGCCGUCGCCCUCCGACCUCUUCAUCACGCAGACGCCGCGGCUGCUGUGCCUGGUGACCAGCCUGCCCAGCGACGAGGGGCUCUCGGUCACCUGGAGCCGCGUGGGCGGCGGCCAUCUUGGCCAGCCCCUCCCCCUGCGGCUGAGCCACCACUUCAACGGGACCUUCACGGCGGCCAGCGAGCUGCCGGUGGCCACCGGCGACUGGGAGGGCGGCGCCGCCUUCGUCUGCCGGGUGGGGCACGCCGAGCUGCCGGCGCCGCUGGAGAGGAGGGUGGAGAGGCGGCAAGGUGGGGGUUAA
Non-coding RNA from Passer montanus (Eurasian tree sparrow), 1650 nucleotides. Lineage: Eukaryota; Metazoa; Chordata; Aves; Passeriformes; Passeridae. The record is from the annotation of a RefSeq genome assembly.